UUCGGAGGUACUCGAGUGGCGAACGGGUGAGUAACACGUGGGUAAUCUGCCCUGCACUUCGGGAUAAGCCUGGGAAACUGGGUCUAAUACCGGAUAGGACCUUUURGCGCAUGCCUUUUGGUGGAAAGCUUUUGCGGUGUGGGAUGGGCCCGCGGCCUAUCAGCUUGUUGGUGGGGUGAAGGCCUACCAAGGCGACGACGGGUAGCCGGCCUGAGAGGGUGUCCGGCCACACUGGGACUGAGAUACGGCCCAGACUCCUACGGGAGGCAGCAGUGGGGAAUAUUGCACAAUGGGCGCAAGCCUGAUGCAGCGACGCCGCGUGGGGGAUGACGGCCUUUCGGGUUGUAAACCUCUUUCAGCAGGGACGAAGCGCAAGUGACGGUACCUGCAGAAGAAGCACCGGCCAACUACGUGCCAGCAGCCGCGGUAAUACGUAGGGUGCGAGCGUUGUCCGGAAUUACUGGGCGUAAAGAGCUCGUAGGUGGUUUGUCGCGUUGUUCGUGAAAACCGGGGGCUUAACCCUCGGCGUGCGGGCGAUACGGGCAGACUGGAGUACUGCAGGGGAGACUGGAAUUCCUGGUGUAGCGGUGGAAUGCGCAGAUAUCAGGAGGAACACCGGUGGCGAAGGCGGGUCUCUGGGCAGUAACUGACGCUGAGGAGCGAAAGCGUGGGGAGCGAACAGGAUUAGAUACCCUGGUAGUCCACGCCGUAAACGGUGGGUACUAGGUGUGGGUUUCCUUCCUUGGAAUCCGUGCCGUAGCUAACGCAUUAAGUACCCCGCCUGGGGAGUACGGCCGCAAGGCUAAAACUCAAAGGAAUUGACGGGGGCCCGCACAAGCGGCGGAGCAUGUGGAUUAAUUCGAUGCAACGCGAAGAACCUUACCUGGGUUUGACAUGCACAGGACGCCGGCAGAGAUGUCGGUUCCCUUGUGGCCUGUGUGCAGGUGGUGCAUGGCUGUCGUCAGCUCGUGUCGUGAGAUGUUGGGUUAAGUCCCGCAACGAGCGCAACCCUUGUCUCAUGUUGCCAGCGGGUAAUGCCGGGGACUCGUGAGAGACUGCCGGGGUCAACUCGGAGGAAGGUGGGGAUGACGUCAAGUCAUCAUGCCCCUUAUGUCCAGGGCUUCACACAUGCUACAAUGGCCGGUACAAAGGGCUGCGAUGCCGUAAGGUUAAGCGAAUCCUUUUAAAGCCGGUCUCAGUUCGGAUCGGGGUCUGCAACUCGACCCCGUGAAGUCGGAGUCGCUAGUAAUCGCAGAUCAGCAACGCUGCGGUGAAUACGUUCCCGGGCCUUGUACACACCGCCCGUCACGUCAUGAAAGUCGGUAACACCCGAAGCCGGUNGCCUUU
RNAcentral lists this ribosomal RNA (1347 nucleotides) under Mycobacterium sp. DWMJ-1085B1. Its description in RNAcentral is "bacterial SSU rRNA". It matches the Rfam family "Bacterial small subunit ribosomal RNA", at positions 80 to 1438 of the family's 1533-position model. Lineage: Bacteria; Bacillati; Actinomycetota; Actinomycetes; Mycobacteriales; Mycobacteriaceae. The record is from RNAcentral.